Molecule: transfer RNA, 76 nt
Filed under: Helianthus annuus (common sunflower)
Lineage: Eukaryota; Viridiplantae; Streptophyta; Magnoliopsida; Asterales; Asteraceae
Description: tRNA-Val
Rfam family: tRNA
About the family: Transfer RNA (tRNA) molecules are approximately 80 nucleotides in length.
Source: RNAcentral
UGGUUUUGUGGUGUAGUUGGUUAUCACGUCAGUCUAACACGCUGAAGGUCUCCGGUUCGAACCCGGGUGAAGCCAU